GCUCCCUUCGUCUAUCGGUUAGGACGUCAGGUUUUCAACCUGAAAAGAGGGGUUCGAUUCCCCUAGGGAGUACCA
Molecule: transfer RNA, 75 nt
Filed under: Litoreibacter albidus
Lineage: Bacteria; Pseudomonadati; Pseudomonadota; Alphaproteobacteria; Rhodobacterales; Roseobacteraceae
Also listed under: 3 other names
Description: tRNA_Glu_TTC
Rfam family: tRNA
About the family: Transfer RNA (tRNA) molecules are approximately 80 nucleotides in length.
Source: RNAcentral